Mycena rosella is the source of this 102-nucleotide non-coding RNA. NCBI's taxonomy places the organism in Eukaryota, Fungi, Basidiomycota, Agaricomycetes, Agaricales, Mycenaceae. The record is from the annotation of a GenBank genome assembly.
GGCCUUGUGGCUCAAUGGUUAGAGCGCCGCUGGUAGUCACACCUGUGACCGCUGCUUUAUAUUUACAGCGGAGGUACAUGUGUUCAAAUCACACCUAAGCCA